RNAcentral lists this long non-coding RNA (693 nucleotides) under Calidris pugnax (ruff). RNAcentral's name for it is "lncRNA (ENSCPUG00000007628.1)". Lineage: Eukaryota; Metazoa; Chordata; Aves; Charadriiformes; Scolopacidae. The record is from RNAcentral.
UUUUGGUAAGCCAGAGGCAUUUUUAAUGUAAACUGUUCUUCUUCUCUACAUCAGGGAAGGUGAAGCAGAGAGAUCCCUAAGGUUUUCAGAGAUAUUCAGCCAUCAGCUCGACUAUCUGUUGAUCAACAAGUCAACAACAUUUCUGCAUUGCCCAACAGCCCUACAUAAUUCAUCCCUUGUUGGAGCGACGUUGGUGACUGGAUUGGAUUUCUGUUGGCUUUGACCAUGCAACCCAUGCAUUGAGAAAUUUUUUGAAAAAAGGAAGUUUCAUCCUCUAUCUGCAAUCCAAACAGAUCUCUGCUGGCAUCUAGAAGGUUCGUGUGGAGAAGCAAGGAGCUGGAAUCACAGUAUGGGAAAAAUUAUGGGACAGUCUGGCCCGUGGUGUGUUUCCAUUUGGCCAGCUGCCUUUACAGCAUAGAAGAUGAAGAAGUGCAGAUUGAUGGAAGAGCUGAACUUCUUUUGGGUAAGCUUAUAAACUUUUACAGUGAUUUGGGGAGCUUAGGUAUCUCUAAGUACCACCAUUCCUCUAAGGCACCACCGCACCUGUAAGUUAUGGAGGGUUACCACUGCAGGAGGUUUGGGGGCCAGCCUACACCCCAGUUUUUCUCAUUCACUUCUGCUGGGAUUGGGCUCUCCUAAUGAUGUGGAAAAGGGAGAAGUCACCAAGUCAGCUUUCUGUAUGGCAACAGGGAA